This 296-nucleotide ribosomal RNA is filed under the name uncultured bacterium. RNAcentral's name for it is "partial 16S ribosomal RNA". It matches the Rfam family "Bacterial small subunit ribosomal RNA", at positions 28 to 311 of the family's 1533-position model. The record is from RNAcentral.
GACGAACGCUGGCGGCGUGCCUAAUACAUGCAAGUCGAACGGUCUUUUCUAUGGAAGCUUGCUUCCGCUGAGAAGAUAGUGGCGAACGGGUGAGUAACACGUGGGUAACCUGCCCAUAAGAGGGGGAUAACAUCCGGAAACGGGUGCUAAUACCGCAUAGGUUUCUUGGUCGCAUGAUCGAGAAAGGAAGACGGCCUUUGUGCUGUCGCUUAUGGAUGGACCCGCGGCGUAUUAGUUAGUUGGUGGGUAAGCCUACAAAAAUGAUGCAUAGCCGAGUUGAGAGACUGAUCGGCCAC